This 460-nucleotide ribosomal RNA is filed under the name uncultured bacterium. RNAcentral describes it as "partial 16S ribosomal RNA". It matches the Rfam family "Bacterial small subunit ribosomal RNA", at positions 338 to 795 of the family's 1533-position model. The record is from RNAcentral.
CCUACGGGAGGCAGCAGUGAGGAAUAUUGGUCAAUGGGCGCGAGCCUGAACCAGCCAAGUAGCGUGAAGGAUGACUGCCCUACGGGUUGUAAACUUCUUUUAUCAAGGAAUAAAAUGAGGCACGUGUGCCUUUUUGUAUGUACUUUAUGAAUAAGGAUCGGCUAACUCCGUGCCAGCAGCCGCGGUAAUACGGAGGAUCCGAGCGUUAUCCGGAUUUAUUGGGUUUAAAGGGUGCGUAGAUGGGUUGUUAAGUCAGUUGUGAAAGUUUGCGGCUCAACCUUAAAAUUGCAAUUGAUACUGGAAGUCUUGAGUACAGUUGAGGUAGGCGGAAUGCGUGGUGUAGCGGUGAAAUGCUUAGAUAUCACGCAGAACCCCGAUUGCGAAGGCAGCUUACUAACCUGUGACUGACAUUGAUGCUCGAAAGUGUGGGUAUCAAACAGGAUUAGAUACACCGGUAGUC